Long non-coding RNA from Cynocephalus volans (Philippine flying lemur), 1908 nucleotides. RefSeq lists it as uncharacterized. Lineage: Eukaryota; Metazoa; Chordata; Mammalia; Dermoptera; Cynocephalidae. The transcript has 8 exons. The record is from RefSeq and is a predicted model, not a curated record.
GGGCACGCUGCUGUCUUUUGCGUGGCGAUUCCGGGAGUUUUCCUGUCCACCAACACUGCUCCUCAGUUCCUGCGGUUGGAUUGUAAGCUGCCAUAGUGCACUGUGCAUUUCCAAGAGCAAGAAAAGAUGGAUACAUUUCUGAGGCAGAGGGAGGAGACCAGCUAACAAUUUUCCUGUUGUUCACAGAAGUCUGCUUCAGCCGACCCUUGAAAGGCUUGGAUCUCUUGAACUCUGGAAUCAUGUAUCCAAAUUGCAAUUUGGACAUUCCCACAGAUAUUUCAAUGACUGCAGUUUUACUAUUGCCUAAUGAUCAUGAGAACAUGUGAUUCAUGUGGAAGAGCCUAACAUCUUAGGCAUUUCAUUGGAGUGCAAACAGAAUGCAACAUAUCUACUGAACUGUCAAAAUUUGUUAAUCUCAUACAGUGGUUCAGGAGUGGGUGUCAUUUGAGGAUGUGGCUGUGCAUUUCACCUGGGAGGAGUGGAGGGACUUGAAUGAUGCUCAGAGGAAUUUGUACAGGGAUGUGAUGCUGGAGAUCUUCAGCAGCCUGUUAUCACUGGGGUACUGCAUUAGUAAACCUGAGGCGAUCCUCAAGUUGGAGAAAGGCGCAGAGCCAUGGAUAAUAAUAGAACACCCAAACCAGAGCCUCCCAGUAAGAGGAUCGCGCUGUCACCGCACUCAACCAGUGAGCGCACCGGCCAUUCCUAUAUAGGAUCCGAACCCGUGGCAGGAGUGUCGCUGCUCUCCCAGUGCUGCACUCUCCCAAGUGCACCACGGGGUCGGCCCUGUUAAGAAUUCUUAAUGGAAUCCAACAUAAAUGGAUAGGGAAUAUGUACAUUUAGUAUAAAAAAUAGUUUGGUUUGACUUACUUCAGGAUUUUUGACAUUAACAGCCACUCUAACUUCUGAAUAUUUUGUUAGAUACAUUAAGUCUAAAGUACUGCACUACACAGAUUAUUUUAAAAUAAAAGAUGACCAGUAAGUUAAUCUUAACCCUUGACUUGGUGUUUUCAGUACCACCCUCUCCCAAGUGAGCCAUGGGCCACCCGAGAUUUUUUCCUACUCUCCUAUUUUAGGGAGAUUUGUAUUACAAAACUAUCUGAGUAAAGGCAAUUUUUUCCUCAUGUUUGAAGCUAAUGCAGAGUGAGUCUAUGGGUUGCAUAGAAACGUUUCUAUGUGAAUGCACAAAUUCACCGGCACGUAAUUGUAAACUUGGAACUUAUUUAAACAGCUGUCAGCAAUAGUGGUUUUCUUAUUUUACUCAGGGAAAAGCAGUGUCUGGAAGGUAUACUUAUAUUUUAUACCUAUUCCUCAUAUUUUUAAAUGGUCCCAAAUCAUAGGUAUGAGUGUGUACAACAUGACCUAUAGCUAAGAAAUCUUUUGUGUUUCUAUUUACAGUAAUGGAGUGCUAUUUUGAAUCUUGCCACUAAGAGGUAAAUCCUGACUCCGUUUGUGUAUUGCCUUGUGCAUGGCUGUGCUCGUGUGUAGGCCGCCAGACCUAGAGAUGGCCCCAGAGCCUGUGUUCACCUAAGGAGUCUUCUUGAGUCUGUGGUGGAUCCCUGUCUGCCCUCAGAGCCCAGGACCCAAAGAGGGGUAUGAGCAAGUAAGACAAAAUGGUGUCCAGCAUGAACCUGAGGGGUGUGGUUGGAAUCAGGGUCUCUGGGAUCUUCUUGGGCACGAUGGUCAUUUCAGUAUGCCACAAUUCUGUCCUCAAAUCUCUGGCAACAGUGGGCAGAGAGUACAGCACCAUCAUUUAUUUCUCAUUCUUCACUCUAAUCUUUAUUAUUUUCUUCUUUCUCUUUUGGGAGGUUUAAUUUUCAUCCUUUAUCUAGGUUUUUAGUUAAAGGUUAGUUUAUUGAUUUCAGAUCUUUCCUUUCUAAAAUGUAUACCUUUAUAAAUAUAAAUUUUACU